UACGUAGGGGGCGAGCGUUGAUCGGAAUCACUGGGCUUAAAGGGCGUGUAGGUGGAGUAGUAGGUCUUCUGUGAAAGCCCCCGUCUCAAUCGGGGAAUUGCAGGGGAAACCCCUAUUCUUGAGGUAGGUAGAGGCGACCGGAACGUGUGGUGGAGCGGUGAAAUGCGUAGAUAUCACACGGAACGCCGGUGGUGAAGACGGGUCGCUGGGCCUUACCUGACACUGAGACGCGAAAGCGUGGGGAGUAAACAGG
RNAcentral lists this ribosomal RNA (253 nucleotides) under uncultured bacterium. RNAcentral describes it as "partial 16S ribosomal RNA". It matches the Rfam family "Bacterial small subunit ribosomal RNA", at positions 524 to 776 of the family's 1533-position model. The record is from RNAcentral.